This 253-nucleotide ribosomal RNA is filed under the name uncultured bacterium. RNAcentral describes it as "partial 16S ribosomal RNA". It matches the Rfam family "Bacterial small subunit ribosomal RNA", at positions 524 to 776 of the family's 1533-position model. The record is from RNAcentral.
UACGGAGGAUUCGAGCGUUAUCCGGAGUUAUUGGGUGUAAAGGGUACGUAGGCGGACUGGUAAGUCAGCUGUGAAAGCUUACAGCUCAACUGUGAAAUUGCAGUUGAUACUGUAGCUCUUGAGUAUACAUGAGGUGGGCGGAAUUUGUGGUGUAGCGGUGAAAUGCUUAGAUAUCACAAAGAACUCCAGUUGCGAAGGCAGCUCACUGGGCUAUAACUGACGCUGAGGCACGAAGGUGUGGGUAUCAAACAGG